Molecule: long non-coding RNA, 428 nt
Organism: Mytilus californianus (California mussel)
Lineage: Eukaryota; Metazoa; Mollusca; Bivalvia; Mytilida; Mytilidae
Exons: 2
Source: RefSeq, a predicted model, not a curated record
GCAAGGUUGCGACAGAAACACAACUAAAAUGAAGACCUUCUUGCUUGCUGUAGUUUUCUGUGCUUUUUUGGCUGUAAUAUCAGGUCAAAACUUAUUAAGAGGUCUUUUAGGUCUAGGUAUAGCAAGUCAUCUCUUCAGAGGUUUUACUAAUUCAUUUUCAGGAGGAGGUGGUAAUUCAUACGAUUGGGGUAGCGGACGAGGACAAAAUGCCUACAUAAUUCAACCAACGAGUGACCAAUACUAUGCACAAGAUUAUGGUUAUGAUCGUGGAUAUUUGUGGUAACAUCAUCCAGCUAGUAAAUAGUCAGUUGAGAGCUUCAGAAGUCAUAUCAAAUCAUCACAAGAAUAAAACAUUUGUAUGAUUUGUCUUUCAUUUAUCACAGAAACAUUCACAUCAAGGCCUUAUGAAAUAAAAUCAAUAGCUUCUA